Molecule: non-coding RNA, 826 nt
Organism: Cyanistes caeruleus (blue tit)
Lineage: Eukaryota; Metazoa; Chordata; Aves; Passeriformes; Paridae
Source: RefSeq, a predicted model, not a curated record
CGGCGCCGAUUUCUCCGUCUAUGUCAACACGGCGCAGGAGUUCGAUGGCUCCGACUCGGGCGCGCGGCCGGACGAGGCCGUGUCCUGGGGCAAGAUCCGCGUGGAUGCCACCCCCGUCAAGGUGUACGCCGAUGCCUCGCUCGUGUUCCCGCUGCUCGUGGCAGAGACGUUCGCACGGAGCGCCGACGCCUUCCCGGUGCCCGCGGGGACCCCCAAGGCCUGAGGGACCCCCAGUGCCCAUGGGGACCCCCGAGGCCUGCAGAGACCCCCGAGGCCCGCAUAGACCCCCAAGGCCUGAGGGACCCCUAAUGCCCACGGAGACCUCUGGUGCCUUUGGGGACCCCAAGGCCUGAGGGACCCCCGGUGCCUGUGGGGACCCCGGUGCCUGUGGGGACCCCCAGUGUCCAUGGGCACCCCUGAUGCCCGCAUGGACCCCCAAGGCCUGAGGGACCCCUGGUGUCCAUGGGGACCCCCAGUGCCUGCAGGGACCCCUGAGGCCUGUGGGGACCCCCAAGGCCUGAGGGACCCCCAAGGCCUGAGGGACCCCCAGUGCCUGUGGGGACCCCCGAUGCCCGCAUGGACCCCCGAGGCCUGAGUGACACCCGGUUCCCACAGCGACCCCCAAGGCCUGAAGGACCCCCAGUCUCAGCUCUGGGUGUCUGAGCCCCUCGCAGCUCCCACAGCAUGGGGGGCACUGUGGCGAGUCCCUUUGGGGGGCCCUCAGGGGUUCCCCCACACCUGCACCCCCCUGUCCGCGUGUCCCCCCUCCCGCGGCGCUCGCGUUUAUUUAUUCUGGCCCCCAAUAAAGCACGGCAGGGUCUCCUCA